Molecule: unclassified non-coding RNA, 338 nt
Filed under: soil metagenome
Description: partial contains 5.8S ribosomal RNA, internal transcribed spacer 2, and large subunit ribosomal RNA
Rfam family: 5.8S ribosomal RNA (bases 1-120)
Source: RNAcentral
GUUGAAGAACGUAGCGAAAUGCGAUAAGUAAUGUGAAUUGCAGAAUUCAGUGAAUCAUCGAAUCUUUGAACGCACAUUGCGCCCGCCAGCAUUCUGGCGGGCAUGCCUGUUCGAGCGUCAUUUCAACCCUCAGGCUCUGCUUGGUGUUGGGGCCCUACGGUUGACGUAGGCCCUUAAAGGUAGUGGCGGACCCUCUCGGAGCCUCCUUUGCGUAGUAACUAACGUCUCGCAUUGGGAUUCGGAGGGACUCUUGCCGUAAAACCCCCAAAUUUUCUAAUGGUUGACCUCGGAUCAGGUAGGAAUACCCGCUGAACUUAAGCAUAUCAAUAAGCGGAGGA